UACGUAGGGGCAAGCGUUGUCCGGAAUUAUUGGGCGUAAAGAGCUCGUAGGCGGCUCAGCAAGUCGGCUGUGAAAUCCCGAGGCUCAACCUCGGAACUGCAGUCGAUACUGUUGUGGCUAGAGUCUGGUAGAGGAGAAUGGAAUUCCCGGUGUAGCGGUGAAAUGCGCAGAUAUCGGGAGGAACACCAGUAGCGAAGGCGGUUCUCUGGGCCAGUACUGACGCUGAGGAGCGAAAGCGUGGGUAGCAACAGGAUUAGA
RNAcentral lists this ribosomal RNA (258 nucleotides) under uncultured prokaryote. RNAcentral's name for it is "partial 16S ribosomal RNA". It matches the Rfam family "Bacterial small subunit ribosomal RNA", at positions 524 to 782 of the family's 1533-position model. The record is from RNAcentral.